AUUCUGACUAGGCCCUAAUUUGGGAUGUUACAAAGAAAUUCAAGCAAGCGCGGGUAAGCGACGAGAGUAACUGUGACUCUCUUAAGGUAGCCAAAUGCCUCAUCAUCUAAUUAGUGACACAUACGAAUGGGU
Molecule: non-coding RNA, 132 nt
Filed under: Gossypium hirsutum (cotton)
Lineage: Eukaryota; Viridiplantae; Streptophyta; Magnoliopsida; Malvales; Malvaceae
Also listed under: 1 other name
Description: Eukaryotic large subunit ribosomal RNA
Rfam family: Eukaryotic large subunit ribosomal RNA
Source: Rfam by way of RNAcentral